UGGGUCGUUAGUUCAGUCACUCUUUGUAACAUCAAGAGCUGCAGUUGGCUUUUAACCAAUUGGUCGAAGAUUCGAAUUUUUCACGUCCCACCCA
This 94-nucleotide transfer RNA is filed under the name Shewanella sp. SR44-3. RNAcentral describes it as "tRNA-Lys". It matches the Rfam family "tRNA". From Rfam's summary of the family: Transfer RNA (tRNA) molecules are approximately 80 nucleotides in length. Their secondary structure includes four short double-helical elements and three loops (D, anti-codon, and T loops). Lineage: Bacteria; Pseudomonadati; Pseudomonadota; Gammaproteobacteria; Alteromonadales; Shewanellaceae. The record is from RNAcentral.